GGGGGAUAUUGCACAAUGGGGGAAACCCUGAUGCAGCGACGCCGCGUGGAGGAAGAAGGUUUUCGGAUUGUAAACUCCUGUCGUUAGGGACGAUAAUGACGGUACCUAACAAGAAAGCACCGGCUAACUACGUGCCAGCAGCCGCGGUAAAACGUAGGGUGCAAGCGUUGUCCGGAAUUACUGGGUGUAAAGGGAGCGCAGGCGGACCGGCAAGUUGGAAGUGAAAACUAUGGGCUCAACCCAUAAAUUGCUUUCAAAACUGCUGGCCUUGAGUAGUGCAGAGGUAGGUGGAAUUCCCGGUGUAGCGGUGGAAUGCGUAGAUAUCGGGAGGAACACCAGUGGCGAAGGCGACCUACUGGGCACCAACUGACGCUGAGGCUCGAAAGCAUGGGUAGCAAACAGGAUUAGAUACCCUGGUAGUCCAUGCCGUAAACGAUGAUUACUAGGUGUUGGAGGAUUGACCCCUUCAGUGCCGCAGUUAACACAAUAAGUAAUCCACCUGGGGAGUACGACUGCAAGGUUGAAACUCAAAGGAAUUGACGGGGGCCCGCACAAGCAGUGGAGUAUGUGGUUUAAUUCGAAGCAACGCGAAGAACCUUACCAGGUCUUGACAUCCGAUGCAUAGCUUAGAGAUAAGUGAAGUCCUUCGGGACAUCGAGACAGGUGGUGCAUGGUUGUCGUCAGCUCGUGUCGUGAGAUGUUGGGUUAAGUCCCGCAACGAGCGCAACCCUUAUUGCCAGUUACUACGAAAGAGGACUCUGGCGAGACUGCCGUUGACAAAACGGAGGAAGGUGGGGAUGACGUCAAAUCAUCAUGCCCUUUAUGACCUGGGCUACACACGUACUGCAAUGGCGUUUAACAAAGAGAAGCAAGACCGCGAGGUGGAGCAAAACUCAAAAACAACGUCUCAGUUCAGAUUGCAGGCUGCAACUCGCCUGCAUGAAGUCGGAAUUGCUAGUAAUCGCGGAUCAGCAUGCCGCGGUGAAUACGUUCCCG
RNAcentral lists this ribosomal RNA (996 nucleotides) under uncultured organism. RNAcentral's name for it is "bacterial SSU rRNA". It matches the Rfam family "Bacterial small subunit ribosomal RNA", at positions 356 to 1376 of the family's 1533-position model. The record is from RNAcentral.